RNAcentral lists this ribosomal RNA (301 nucleotides) under uncultured bacterium. RNAcentral's name for it is "partial 16S ribosomal RNA". It matches the Rfam family "Bacterial small subunit ribosomal RNA", at positions 509 to 807 of the family's 1533-position model. The record is from RNAcentral.
CAGUAGCCGCGGUAAUACGAAGGGGGCUAGCGUUGUUCGGAUUUACUGGGCGUAAAGCGCACGUAGGCGGAUCGAUCAGUCAGGGGUGAAAUCCCAGAGCUCAACUCUGGAACUGCCUUUGAUACUGUCGAUCUGGAGUAUGGAAGAGGUGAGUGGAAUUCCGAGUGUAGAGGUGAAAUUCGUAGAUAUUCGGAGGAACACCAGUGGCGAAGGCGGCUCACUGGUCCAUUACUGACGCCGAGGUGCGAAAGCGCGGGGAGCAAACAGGAUUAGAUACCCCAGUAGUCCCUGUCUCUUAUAC